This 228-nucleotide signal recognition particle RNA is filed under the name Bacillota bacterium. Its description in RNAcentral is "signal recognition particle sRNA large type". It matches the Rfam family "Bacterial large signal recognition particle RNA". From Rfam's summary of the family: The signal recognition particle (SRP) is a universally conserved ribonucleoprotein involved in the co-translational targeting of proteins to membranes. Archaeal SRP consists of a 7S RNA and homologues of the eukaryotic SRP19 and SRP54 proteins. In most bacteria, the SRP consists of a 4.5S RNA and the Ffh protein (a homologue of the eukaryotic SRP54 protein). Lineage: Bacteria; Bacillati; Bacillota. The record is from RNAcentral.
CCGUGCUAGCCGGGGAGGUAGCGGCACCCUUUUUCUGCAAUCCGCUAUAGCAGAGGUGAUGGUCUUGUUUCGGGUUGUCUUCUGUAGAGCUGCCCUCUACAAGUGGCGUUGAUAUCUGGGUCUCACGCAAUAGGAAUCCACGAACCGUGUCAGGUUGGGAACAAAGCAGCACUAAGUGCUGUGGAAGGCGACACAAGGCAGGCCGCACGGAUUUUUUUAUUAUCAUAG